GAGGCUCUGAGGGAGCUGAGUAUCUGUUAACCAGCCCGGAAGUGACGUAGACGCCGCCAUUUUGUGCCUUGCAGGCAUUCGGACUUCAUCUCCCAGGAUCCUCCCUCAUUGAAUGAAGUAGCCGAGGCUUCUGGGAGUUGAAGUCCAGAGGCUCUGAGGGAGCUGGGUAUCUGUGUUAACCAGCCCGGAAGUGACGUAGACGCCGCCAUUUUGUGCCUUGCAGGCAUUCGGACUUCAUCUCCCAGGAUCCUCUCUCAUUGAAUGAAGUAGCCGAGGCUUCUGGGAGUUGAAGUCCAAAGGGUUUGAAGAGGCUGGGUGUCCGUGUGAGGUGAGCGGCGGUCGCCAUGGCGGUGCUGGCUUCGAAUCCCAACAACCCGGUGGUCUUCUUCGACGUGACGAUAGGCGGGCAGGAGGUAGGCCGCAUGAAGGUGGAGCUCUUCGCCGACGUAGUGCCCAAGACCGCGGAGAACUUCCGGCAGUUUUGCACCGGAGAGUUUAGGAAAGACGGCGUUCCGAUCGGCUACAAAGGCAGCACAUUCCACAGGGUGAUCAAGGAUUUCAUGAUCCAAGGCGGCGAUUUUGUCAAUGGCGACGGCACCGGCGUGGCCAGCAUCUACCGGGGCCCUUUUGCGGACGAAAACUUCAAGCUGAAACAUUCAGCGCCCGGGCUGCUGUCGAUGGGACCCAACCCUCUGCUUCCUCCUGGCAGGCCAACAGCGGUCCCAGCACCAACGGGUGCCAGUUCUUCAUCACUUGCUCCAAGUGCGACUGGCUGGACGGGAAGCACGUCGUCUUUGGAAAAGUCGUCGAUGGGCUGCUCGUCAUGAGGAAGAUUGAGAACGUCCCCACCGGCCCCAACAACAAGCCCAAGCUCCCCGUGGUCAUCGCUCAGUGCGGAGAGAUGUAGUCUCCGGUCUGGGCUUCUUCUUCUUCGCCUCGGACCAUCAUCAUCCUCAUCAUCAUCCUCCCAGCAUCCUCCUUUUGUAUUUGUAAAUAAAAGGGAUUCUCAUUGUCAUAA
Molecule: RNA transcript, 1018 nt
Organism: Anolis carolinensis (green anole)
Lineage: Eukaryota; Metazoa; Chordata; Lepidosauria; Squamata; Anolidae
Gene: ppih
Gene name: peptidylprolyl isomerase H
Exons: 10
Source: RefSeq, a predicted model, not a curated record